This 521-nucleotide ribosomal RNA is filed under the name uncultured Actinomyces sp. Its description in RNAcentral is "partial 16S ribosomal RNA". The record is from RNAcentral. Lineage: Bacteria; Bacillati; Actinomycetota; Actinomycetes; Actinomycetales; Actinomycetaceae.
CACGUAGUUAGCCGGCGCUUCUUAUCCAGGUACCCUCAACACCACCAAAAAAGCAGUGCCUUGUUCCCUGACGAAAGAGGUUUACAACCCGAAGGCCUUCAUCCCUCACGCGGCGUCGCUGCAUCAGGCUUGCGCCCAUUGUGCAAUAUUCCCCACUGCUGCCUCCCGUAGGAGUCUGGGCCGUAUCUCAGUCCCAGUGUGACCGUCCACCCUCUCAGGCCGGCUACCCGUCAAAGCCCUUGGUAGGCCAUCACCCCACCAACAAGCUGAUAGGCCGCGAGCCCAUCCCUUACCAGAAAAAACCUUUCCAAACCAACCCAUGCAGGAUGGUCAGAAUAUCCCGUAUUAGCUACCCUUUCGAGCAGUUAUCCAGGAAAGUAAGGGGCAGGUUACUCACGUGUUACUCACCCGUUCGCCACUAUCAACCAAGCAAGCUUGGUAUUUCGUCGACUUGCAUGUGUUAAGCACGCCGCCAGCGUUCGUCCUGAGCCAGGAGUCAAACUCUACUGACGACUCGACCG